CUGCUCUGGAAACUGUAUGGCUGGAGUGCAGGAGAGGUAAGUGGAAUUCCUAGUGUAGCGGUGAAAUGCGUAGAGAUUAGGAAGAACACCAGUGGCGAAGGCGACUUACUGGACUGUAACUGACGCUGAGGCAUGAGAGCAUGGGGAGCAA
This 151-nucleotide ribosomal RNA is filed under the name uncultured bacterium. RNAcentral describes it as "partial 16S ribosomal RNA". It matches the Rfam family "Bacterial small subunit ribosomal RNA", at positions 621 to 771 of the family's 1533-position model. The record is from RNAcentral.